CCCGGUGUACAACAACAGAAAUGGCAGGGACUAUGAGAGCUUCCCUCCCCCUCCAGUCUACAGCCCACUACAGGAGCCCCUGCACAGUCCGGAUGUAUACGGAGGGUUACAGCAGUACGGAGCUAGAGACCAAGAGCCCCGCCAACCCCAGCCUCAAUACACUGACACAGAGAGGAAUGUGGAAAUUUUAAACCAUGUGCUGAACGACUGGAGCUCUUCAUGGGGAAAGUAGCUGCUCCUAAUGAAGAGAAGAACAACAAGAAGAAAAAAAGAAGAAAAGCUCAAAGCCAAA
Oncorhynchus masou masou (cherry salmon) is the source of this 292-nucleotide long non-coding RNA. RefSeq lists it as uncharacterized. The transcript is spliced from 3 exons. NCBI's taxonomy places the organism in Eukaryota, Metazoa, Chordata, Actinopteri, Salmoniformes, Salmonidae. The record is from RefSeq and is a predicted model, not a curated record.